CGGGGUGCAGCAGGCGCGAAACCUCUGCAAUAGGCGAAAGCCUGACAGGGUUACUCUGAGUGAUUCCCGCUAAGGGGAUCUUUUGGCACCUCUAAAAAUGGUGCAGAAUAAGGGGUGGGCAAGCCUGGUGUCAGCCGCCGCGGUAAUACCAGCACCCCGAGUGGUCGGGACGAUUAUUGGGCCUAAAGCAUCCGUAGCCGGCCACGCAAGUCCUCCGUUAAAUCCACCCGCUCAACGGUUGGGCUGCGGAGGAUACUACGUGGCUAGGAGGCGGGAGAGGCAAGCGGUACUCAAUGGGUAGGGGUAAAAUCCUUUGAUCCAUUGAAGACCACCAGUGGCGAAGGCGGCUUGCCAGAACGCGCUCGACGGUGAGGGAUGAAAGCUGGGGGAGCAAACCGGAUUAGAUACCCGGGUAGUCCCAGCUGUAAACGAUGCAGACUCGGUGAUGGGAUGGCCUCGAGCCAUCCCAGUGCCGCAGGGAAGCCGUUAAGUCUGCCGCCUGGGGAGUACGGUCGCAAGACUGAAACUUAAAGGAAUCGGCGGGGGAGCACAAGGGCGAAUUCGCG
Molecule: ribosomal RNA, 566 nt
Filed under: uncultured archaeon
Lineage: Archaea
Description: bacterial SSU rRNA
Rfam family: Archaeal small subunit ribosomal RNA
Source: RNAcentral